ACCUUCUUCAUCAUCUCUCCUGCAGAUUCUCCUACCAUCAUUCAUCCUCCUCCUCCUCACUGUCCUCCUCCUCCAAGCACCUCCACAAACUUUGCCCCUCCUGUAAAAACUCCUCUUAUUCCUCCUCUCCCAGCAUCCAUUUAUCCUCCUCCUCCUCCCUCUCUCGUGGUCCCAGUUGUAGCAGGUCUGGUUUCUGUGGUCCUCCUGGUUCUGGUUCUGGGUUUGGUUCUGUUCCUCUGCUGGAAACUUAAAGACAAACAUGCUGCUGAUCCACAAGCUGUCUACUCUGAUGUGAGGACUCAAACUUCAGGUCCUGAGGAUGUUGCCUAUGGUCAGGUGGUCAUCAAAAGCAAGAAAAAGGCUGGCAAGAGAACAGGUAACCAUAGUAAUCACUACACUGACACAGCAUGGCACUCACUCAAUUCAAUUCAGUUUUAUUUAUGCAGCGCCAAAUCACAACAACAGUCACCUCAAGGCACUUUAUAUUGUAAGGUAGACAACAAUAAUACAUACAGAGAAAAACCCAACAAUCAUACGACCCCAUAUGAGCAAGCACUUUGGCGACAGUGGGAAGGAAAAACUCUCUUCUAACAGGAAGAAACCUCCGGCAGAACCAGGCUCAGGGAGGGGCGGGGCCAUCUGCUGCAACCAGUUGGGCGAGGGUUAAGGUUACUUUAUUUAUACCUGUAGGUAAAUUUGUGUAACAGAAAAAUGAUAGCAUCUGGUAUUGCUUUACAAACACAGACAUAGUAAAACCUGACAAACAGUAAUUAAACAAAAUGAAUUAAAUCAAAACAAUUAUUUAUUGAGUUCAGUGAUGGCAACAAGGACAAAGCUGUUUUUAUAACGCUUUGUCCUGCAUCUUGGAACUAGAAACCUCCAUCCUGAGGAAAGAAGCUAAAAUUCACCCCGUACAGGAUAGGAACCAAUUUUAAGAAGUGAUAAAGCCACAGACUCAAUCAAAGAACGAUAAAAUAAAGUUCAAAUUUUGCAGUCAAUGUGGAAAUGAACACGUUUCCUGAGACAGUAAGGCCGAUGGUGAGCCUUUUUAGAGACCAAUUUGCGAUUCUCAUCAAAGUUAAGUUUUUCAUUGAUUAUGGUCCCAAGUUAUUUAUAUGAUUGCACUUGCUCUAUUUUCUGAAUAAUAAUAAGGGUGUUAAGACACCCCUGGAGAGAACCUGUGGAGGAGAGCACUGGGUCAGACAGAACCCCAUUUAUUCUCACUCUUUGUGACCUGUCAGUUAAAAAAAUCGAAAAUCCAGCUCACCAGGUUUUUCCUAAUUUCAAACUGUUCUAAAAGUCUUUGAAUUAAAAUAUGGGGCUGUAUUGAUGAAAAGAAGUCCUGCAAAAGUCCCUUUGCUCUUUCGAUGUUUGAGAAUCAGAUUUAGUAGAGUCAAAAGCACAUCUUCCACUCCUCUGUUGGGCGUGUAUGCAAAUUGCAUUGGAUUGCAUUGUUGUUUUCUGAGGUGACCUUUGGGUGGUGCUGUACUUUGGUGUUCGCUCUCUCUGUGGUAGAGUAUCACUUCCUGUUCCAUUUCUAACACACAGUGGUGUUUUUGCGUAACUUAUGUCAUAGUCUUAAACAGAAGCCCCAGGUACACCACCAACCUGUUCAUGUGUCUAACCAUUUUUCACCUCUCUACGACACACCCGCCGGGGGUCAAACUCUGGCAAUUGGUGAUUCUGUUCUGACACGUGAAGUUUGAGACACCAGCAACCAUAGUCAAUUGUCUUCCAGGGGCCAGAGCAGGCGACAUUGAGGAAAAUUUAAAAUUGCUGGUGAGAGGAGUAGAAAUAUUUUCCUGCUAUUAUUUGCUGCUAUUUUU
Long non-coding RNA from Oreochromis niloticus (Nile tilapia), 1826 nucleotides. The record is from Ensembl. NCBI's taxonomy places the organism in Eukaryota, Metazoa, Chordata, Actinopteri, Cichliformes, Cichlidae.